Alnus glutinosa is the source of this 452-nucleotide long non-coding RNA. RefSeq lists it as uncharacterized. NCBI's taxonomy places the organism in Eukaryota, Viridiplantae, Streptophyta, Magnoliopsida, Fagales, Betulaceae. The record is from RefSeq and is a predicted model, not a curated record. The transcript is spliced from 2 exons.
UUCGAGUCGAGGAGCUUCGGCGCGAGGUCCAAUGCCGCAACGUGUCGAUUGUGUCAUUGGAGUUGAAGGUGAAGAGAUUGGAAGAGGAGAGAGAGUGGAACUUGAAGGAUGAGGUGAAAGCGGUGGAUCUGAAGAAGGAUCUCGAAGGUGACGGCCAAGAAACGUCGCCAGAGCCGGAUAAUCUCCCUGGGAAAUCUCUCUGACUAUAAAGACAAUCGCUCUUUCAACGAGUCCAAUUCCACAAGUCAAAGAGGCGACGGUCAAGGGCCGCCGGGAAAUGGCGUCGUUGCAAAGCAAGUGAGACCCGAACCGGUGGGAAAUGAACUGGAUCCCUUUGCCUUUUUUUUUUUUUAAAUAGAAUUAUUUAUUUUUUAAAAAAUAAGUUUUAUUUAUUUACUUUUUAAUAUAUUUAUAUUUUUUAUUAAUAUAAACACAUGUCGCCGUCUUAUUGA